Molecule: ribosomal RNA, 1248 nt
Filed under: metagenome
Description: bacterial LSU rRNA
Rfam family: Bacterial large subunit ribosomal RNA
Source: RNAcentral
AAAAUGCACUAAGGCGCGCGAGAGAGACCUCUCUAAGGAACUCGGCACAUUAGCCUCGUAACUUCGGGAAAAGAGGUGCUCACUUCGGUGAGCCACAGUAAAUUGCGUUUAGCGACUGUUUAACAAAAACACAGCACUCUGCUAAGUCGUUAAGACGACGUAUAGGGUGUGACACGUGACCAAUGCGGAAAGAUUAAGGCAUUUUGUUAGCCGCAAGGCGAAGCUCGGUGCCAAAGUCCCCGUGAAUGUCGGCCGUAACUAUAACGGUCCUAAGGUAGCGAAAUUCCUUGUCGGGUAAGUUCCGACCUGCACGAAUCGUGUAACGACUGAACGACUGUCUCGGAGAGGAUCUCGGCGAAACUGCAACUGCGGUGAAGAUGCCGCAUGCCCGCAGUAGGACGGAAAGACCCUAUGCACCUUUACUGUAAGCUGGUAUUGUGUUCUGAUUAAUAAUGCGUAGCGUAGGUGGGAGGCUUUGAAGUGAGUGCUUCGGUGCUCAUGGAGCCGCAAUGUGAAACACCACUCUUUGCUAAUUAGGAUUCUAACCUCGAUUCCUGUCAACCAGGCGAGGGACAGUGCUUGCGGGUCAGUUUGACUGGGGCGGUUUCCUCCCAAAGAGUAACGGAGGAGCGCGAAGCUUGGCUCAGCACGGUUGGCAACCGUGCGUCGAGCGUAUGGGUAUAAGCCAGGUUAACUGUGAGACCUACAAGUCGAGCAGAUGCGAAAGCAGGCCCAAAUGAUCCGAUGGUUUAAUGUGGAAUUGCCAUCGCUCAACGGACAAAAGGUACGCUAGGGAUAACAGGCUGAUCGGUUCCAAGAGUUCACAUCGACGAACCGGUUUGGCACCUCGAUGUCGGCUCAUCGCAUCCUGGGGCUGGAGAAGGUCCCAAGGGUCCGGCUGUUCGCCGGUUAAAGCGGUACGCGAGCUGGGUUCAGAACGUCGUGAGACAGUUCGGUCCUUAUCCACUGCGGGCGCAGGAAUCUUGAGGGGUUCAUUCUCUAGUACGAGAGGACCGAGAAUGACGCACUUCUGGUGUGGCAGUUGUUCCAUCAGGGGCAUCGCUGCGUAGCCAUGUGCGGAAGAGAUAAGCGCUGAAAGCAUCUAAGUGCCAAGCUCAUCCCAAGAUAUGGAUUCCCGGACGCAAGUCCCUAAAGACCCCCGGCAGACUACCGGGUUGAUAGGUCAGGCAUGUAAGCGUCGCGAGAUGUUUAGUGGACUGAUACUAAUUGGUCGUGCGGCUUGAUCGC